GACGAACGCUGGCGGCGUGCUUAACACAUGCAAGUCGAACGGAAAGGCCCUGCUUUUGUGGGGUGCUCGAGUGGCGAACGGGUGAGUAACACGUGAGUAACCUGCCCUUGACUUGGGAUAACUUCAGGGAACUGGGGCUAAUACCGGAUAGGAGCUCCUGCUGCAUGGGGGGGGUUGGAAAGUUUCGGCGGUUGGGGAUGGACUCGCGGCUUAUCAGCUUGUUGGUGGGGUAGUGGCUUACCAAGGCUUUGACGGGUAGCCGGCCUGAGAGGGUGACCGGCCACAUUGGGACUGAGAUACGGCCCAGACUCCUACGGGAGGCAGCAGUGGGGAAUAUUGCACAAUGGGCGGAAGCCUGAUGCAGCAACGCCGCGUGCGGGAUGACGGCCUUCGGGUUGUAAACCGCUUUCGCCUGUGACGAAGCGUGAGUGACGGUAAUGGGUAAAGAAGCACCGGCUAACUACGUG
RNAcentral lists this ribosomal RNA (467 nucleotides) under uncultured bacterium. RNAcentral describes it as "partial 16S ribosomal RNA". It matches the Rfam family "Bacterial small subunit ribosomal RNA", at positions 28 to 507 of the family's 1533-position model. The record is from RNAcentral.